UUAAUUGAAGAGUUUGAUCAUGGCUCAGAUUGAACGCUGGCGGCAGGCCUAACACAUGCAAGUCGAGCGGCAGCACAGAGGAACUUGUUCCUUGGGUGGCGAGCGGCGGACGGGUGAGUA
This 120-nucleotide ribosomal RNA is filed under the name Vibrio cholerae. Its description in RNAcentral is "partial 16S ribosomal RNA". It matches the Rfam family "Bacterial small subunit ribosomal RNA", at positions 1 to 112 of the family's 1533-position model. RNAcentral also lists the same sequence under 1 other name. The record is from RNAcentral. Lineage: Bacteria; Pseudomonadati; Pseudomonadota; Gammaproteobacteria; Vibrionales; Vibrionaceae.